CGUCGGGUUCCCCGCGACGAUUAACCGUGAACCCCGUCAGACCCGGAAGGGAGCAGCGGCAGCGGUGAUACCGGGUGCUGGGGAAGAGCCGGCGCGG
This 97-nucleotide signal recognition particle RNA is filed under the name Woeseiaceae bacterium. RNAcentral's name for it is "signal recognition particle sRNA small type". It matches the Rfam family "Bacterial small signal recognition particle RNA". From Rfam's summary of the family: The signal recognition particle (SRP) is a universally conserved ribonucleoprotein involved in the co-translational targeting of proteins to membranes. The record is from RNAcentral. Lineage: Bacteria; Pseudomonadati; Pseudomonadota; Gammaproteobacteria; Woeseiales; Woeseiaceae.